This 341-nucleotide long non-coding RNA is filed under the name Bos taurus (domestic cattle). RNAcentral's name for it is "long non-coding RNA NONBTAT018920". Lineage: Eukaryota; Metazoa; Chordata; Mammalia; Artiodactyla; Bovidae. The record is from RNAcentral.
ACUGAUGGCAUACUACUUCUCUUGAGAGUCAGUUAAUGGAAAGUGGGAAGUGGGUAAUAAUCCUUGCCUGUCCUUCCUCGUGGUGCGGUGGGUUUGGUCCUCUUUAACUUUUCCGUUCUACAAAUGUCUGUGUCAGGUGCUACACCUGGUGCUGGGGCUAUGGGAAGUAGGUGUGCUGUUGAUCAACACACUUUGAUGUGUUGAGGGUGGGUAUGAACUUUCCGUCACUGGUAGUGCUCAGGGACGGACUGGUGCUCAGUUAGGGGCACCAGUUAGGGGAUUCUGACCCUGUGAAGAGGUGGGCCUGGCUGUCCCAGGACUGUCUGGUCACCAGUUUUCUG